This 253-nucleotide ribosomal RNA is filed under the name uncultured bacterium. Its description in RNAcentral is "partial 16S ribosomal RNA". It matches the Rfam family "Bacterial small subunit ribosomal RNA", at positions 524 to 776 of the family's 1533-position model. The record is from RNAcentral.
UACGAAGGGUGCAAACGUUGCUCGGAAUCAUUGGGCGUAAAGCGCACGUAGGCGGCCUCAUAAGUCGGAUGUGAAAUCCCUCGGCUCAACCGAGGAAGUGCAUCCGAAACUGCGAGGCUCGAGUAUGGAAGAGGGUCGCAGAAUUCCCGGUGUAGAGGUGAAAUUCGUAGAUAUCGGGAGGAAUACCAGUGGCGAAGGCGGCGACCUGGGCCAAUACUGACGCUGAGGUGCGAAAGCGCGGGGAGCAAACAGG